GAGACACUUGUGCCCCCUCCUUUGGCUA
RNAcentral lists this non-coding RNA (28 nucleotides) under Mus musculus (house mouse). Lineage: Eukaryota; Metazoa; Chordata; Mammalia; Rodentia; Muridae. The record is from RNAcentral.